RNAcentral lists this ribosomal RNA (420 nucleotides) under Diapoma pyrrhopteryx. RNAcentral's name for it is "partial 12S ribosomal RNA". It matches the Rfam family "Bacterial small subunit ribosomal RNA", at positions 774 to 1395 of the family's 1533-position model. Lineage: Eukaryota; Metazoa; Chordata; Actinopteri; Characiformes; Stevardiidae. The record is from RNAcentral.
GGGAUUAGAUACCCCACUAUGCUUAGCCUUAAACCUAGAUGUUGAAUUUACAAGCAACAUCCGCCAGGGUACUACAAGCGCUAGCUUAAAACCCAAAGGACUUGACGGUGUCUCAGACCCACCUAGAGGAGCCUGUUCUAGAACCGAUAAUCCCCGUUAAACCUCACCACCCCUUGUUUCCUCCGCCUAUAUACCGCCGUCGCAAGCUUACCCUGUGAAGGUCUAAUAGUAAGCAAAAUGGGUAAAUCCCAAAACGUCAGGUCGAGGUGUAGCUUACGAGGUGGGAAGAAAUGGGCUACAUUUUCUAUGCCAGAAUAAUACGAACAGCACCAUGAAAUUAGUGCUCGAAGGUGGAUUUAGUAGUAAAAAACAAAUAGAGAGUCUUUUUGAACCAGGCUCUGAGACGCGCACACACCGCCC